Molecule: unclassified non-coding RNA, 211 nt
Filed under: rhizosphere metagenome
Description: partial ribosomal RNA internal transcribed spacer region
Source: RNAcentral
GUAGGUGAACCUGCGGAAGGAUCAUUACCAAGUUUAAUCCAAAACACUCAACCCAUGUGCACGAUGAUCUGUCUGUCUUUGGGGUGAAAGAAUCUAGGGUUAUUUACUAGCCAUACUUGAUUUCACCCCACAUGUGUAAACAUCCUUUAAUUUUAUUGGCAUCUACUUGUCUUAUAAUAGACAACUUUUAACGGUGGAUCUCUUGGCUCGU